Molecule: long non-coding RNA, 501 nt
Filed under: Paramuricea clavata
Lineage: Eukaryota; Metazoa; Cnidaria; Anthozoa; Malacalcyonacea; Plexauridae
Source: RNAcentral
GCUGGCGGGCGGGCCAUUACCAUUAUGCCAUUAUUUGUCGGAUUUCCCCUCUCCGUAAAUAUUACUUUGAAAAAGUGCGCAUUUAGCAUUUAUUGCAUUGCAAAAACAGCACAAAAUUAGUGAGUGCAACUGAGUAUGUUUUCAUCUUAAAAACAUGGCCACAUGUGAAAUAAUCACAGAAUAGAGAAAUAAUUUUGCAAUUGUAGCCUAGUCGUCUCGCGUUUUUUUCCCUGCCCCUGGCUUUCGGUAGAACUUUUACGUAAAUGCGAGAGAAACUGGCAGUUUUGCAAUUGGUAUGAAAUUUCGUAUCUUAACUAAAACUUUUGGUUUGGGAACGUUUCUAAUUGCAUGUCUUUCUUUCAAAUAUAAUUUUGAAGACAUCACAAAAUUUGUAAUAAUGGUCAAAAAUGGCAAUAGUGGCAAUAAUGGCGAACAAGACAAUUUUCUUAAAAAGCAUGCGGGCGGGGAUGAGAAACUAAUAUACAACAAAUAGUGGCCUUA